UACGUAGGGUGCGAGCGUUGUCCGGAAUUAUUGGGCGUAAAGGGCUCGUAGGCGGUUUGUCGCGUCGGGAGUGAAAACCAGGUGCUUAACACCUGGCUUGCUUUCGAUACGGGCAGACUAGAGGUAUGCAGGGGAGAACGGAACUCCUGGUGUAGCGGUGAAAUGCGCAGAUAUCAGGAGGAACACCGGUGGCGAAGGCGGUUCUCUGGGCAUGACCUGACGCUGAGGAGCGAAAGUGUGGGGAGCGAACAGG
Molecule: ribosomal RNA, 253 nt
Filed under: uncultured bacterium
Lineage: Bacteria
Description: partial 16S ribosomal RNA
Rfam family: Bacterial small subunit ribosomal RNA
Source: RNAcentral